This 253-nucleotide ribosomal RNA is filed under the name uncultured bacterium. Its description in RNAcentral is "partial 16S ribosomal RNA". It matches the Rfam family "Bacterial small subunit ribosomal RNA", at positions 524 to 776 of the family's 1533-position model. The record is from RNAcentral.
UACGUAGGGACCAAGCGUUGUUCGGAUUUACUGGGCGUAAAGGGCGCGUAGGCGGCAAUUCAAGUCAGCUGUGAAAUCUCCGAGCUUAACUCGGAACGGUCAGCUGAUACUGUUUUGCUAGAGUGCAGAAAGGGCAACCGGAAUUCUUGGUGUAGCGGUGAAAUGCGUAGAUAUCAAGAGGAACACCUGAGGCGAAGGCGGGUUGCUAGGCUGACACUGACGCUGAGGCGCGAAAGCUAGGGGAGCGAACGGG